RNAcentral lists this ribosomal RNA (301 nucleotides) under uncultured bacterium. Its description in RNAcentral is "partial 16S ribosomal RNA". It matches the Rfam family "Bacterial small subunit ribosomal RNA", at positions 509 to 808 of the family's 1533-position model. The record is from RNAcentral.
CAGCCGCCGCGGGAAUACGAAGGGUGCAAGCGUUGCUCGGAAUUACUGGGCGUAAAGCGUGCGUAGGUGGUGGUUUAAGUCCGUUGUGAAAGCCCUGGGCUCAACCUGGGAAUUGCAGUGGAUACUGGAUCACUAGAGUGUGGUAGAGGAUAGUGGAAUUUCCGGUGUAGCAGUGAAAUGCGUAGAGAUCGGAAGGAACAUCUGUGCGAAGGCGACUAUCUGGGCCAACACUGACACUGAGGCACGAAAGCGUGGGGAGCAAACAGGAUUAGAUACCCGAGUAGUCCCUGUCUCUUAUACA